GACGGAAGGUGCAAGCGUUGCUCGGAAUCACUGGGCGUAAAGGGUGCGUAGGCGGCUUGGUAGGUCUGGUGUGAAAGCCCCGGGCUCAGCCCGGGAAGGGCACUAGAAACUGCCAAGCUGGAGUGCCGGAGGGGAGAGUGGAAUUCCUGGUGUAGCGGUGAAAUGCGUAGAGAUCAGGAGGAAUACCGGUGGCGAAAGCGACUCUCUGGACGGCAACUGACGCUGAGGCACGAAAGCGUGGGGAGCAAACAGG
Molecule: ribosomal RNA, 253 nt
Filed under: uncultured bacterium
Lineage: Bacteria
Description: partial 16S ribosomal RNA
Rfam family: Bacterial small subunit ribosomal RNA
Source: RNAcentral